Molecule: transfer RNA, 92 nt
Filed under: Chloroflexota bacterium
Lineage: Bacteria; Bacillati; Chloroflexota
Description: tRNA-Ser
Rfam family: tRNA
About the family: Transfer RNA (tRNA) molecules are approximately 80 nucleotides in length. Their secondary structure includes four short double-helical elements and three loops (D, anti-codon, and T loops).
Source: RNAcentral
GGAGAGGUCGCAUAGUGGCCGAGUGCGGCGGUUUGCUAAACCGUUGAAGGGGAUUUCCUCUUCCGAGGGUUCGAAUCCCUCCCUCUCCGCCA